RNAcentral lists this ribosomal RNA (479 nucleotides) under uncultured bacterium. Its description in RNAcentral is "bacterial SSU rRNA". It matches the Rfam family "Bacterial small subunit ribosomal RNA", at positions 364 to 833 of the family's 1533-position model. The record is from RNAcentral.
UUUCGCAAUGCCCGAAAGGGUGACGAAGCGACGCCGCGUGUGGGAAGAAGGCCUUCGGGUUGUAAACCACUGUCAGGAGUUAGGAAGUGCAGGGGUGUUAAUAGCGCUCUUGCUUGACUAAGGCUCCAGAGGAAGCCACGGCUAACUCUGUGCCAGCAGCCGCGGUAAUACAGAGGCGGCAAGCGUUGUUCGGAAUUAUUGGGCGUAAAGAGCACGUAGGCGGCCUUGCAAGUCAGUUGUGAAAGCCUUCCGCUCAACGGAAGAAUGCCAGCUGAUACUACAGGGCUUGAGUACGGGAGGGGAGAGUGGAACUUCUGGUGGAGCGGUGAAAUGCGUAGAUAUCAGAAGGAACGCCGGCGGCGAAAGCGACUCUCUGGCCCGAAACUGACGCUGAGUGUGCGAAAGCUAGGGGAGCAAACGGGAUUAGAUACCCCGGUAGUCCUAGCCGUAAACGAUGGGCACUAAGUAGAGGGGUUUUA